RNAcentral lists this ribosomal RNA (253 nucleotides) under uncultured bacterium. RNAcentral describes it as "partial 16S ribosomal RNA". It matches the Rfam family "Bacterial small subunit ribosomal RNA", at positions 524 to 776 of the family's 1533-position model. The record is from RNAcentral.
UACGUAGGGGGCAAGCGUUGUCCGGAUUUAUUGGGCGUAAAGAGCGUGUAGGCGGCUUGGUAGGUCCGCUGUGAAAACUCGAGGCUCAACCUCGAGAUGUCGGCGGAAACCACUUGGCUAGAGUCCGGAAGAGGAGAGUGGAAUUCCCGGUGUAGCGGUGAAAUGCGCAGAUAUCGGGAAGAACACCUAUGGCGAAGGCAGCUCUCUGGGACGGUACUGACGCUGAGGAGCGAAAGCGUGGGGAGCGAACAGG